Peromyscus maniculatus bairdii (prairie deer mouse) is the source of this 3370-nucleotide non-coding RNA. The record is from RefSeq and is a predicted model, not a curated record. Lineage: Eukaryota; Metazoa; Chordata; Mammalia; Rodentia; Cricetidae.
UUCUGUUUAGGGAAAUACAGACUGGGAAUGCAGGAUUCCUAGCACAAGUUUUCGUGGUGAAGGCUGCUACCAGGAACCUUUCCCUGGGAAUAGUUAAUAGUUUUAACUAAAAAUAAAAUGAGAAGAAGAAAUAAAUAAGGAAAGACCACAUCUACUGGGAAACUUCUGAGCCCCUGAGUAGUUCCAGAAGAUUCAUAAAUUUCUGGUCCACUAAGAGAUCUUGAGUGUCUUCCUUUUCAGAGGGAAAUAGAAGCAUCAAUAACCAUUAGUGCACAUUUUAACAAUUUGGAUCUUAUACACACAAAAAAAUUAGAGGAAAUUACAAUUAAGUAGGAGUAUUUCCUGUUACUGUAAUUUGGGGCUAGUGUUUAAAUAAGCUGUUAGUUCUGCAUACUUUUUCAAAGGCAUAGUGUUUCUCAUUUUUAAUGCUAUUCUCACUUUUUGAGAUUUAAUUCUUCCUUUAAGAAUCAAACUUUUUUCUUAUUUCCUGGCUAUCAAUGAUCCAAAGCUGCCUGUUUCCUCUUUGUUUCCUUCUAGCUUUAUAUUGCAUACUUUCAACAAACUACUUCUACACAGAUGACAUUUCAUUUCUCUGUGUGUUAUGAUAUAUCUGUCUGCUGGAGUAUCUACAUACACGCAUUACAUAUUUGGUGACCACCUUCCCCAGCCCUCACACAAAGAGCCUGCAGUGAAUAAGCAGGAUAAUCUAGCAGAACCGCCUUUCUUAACAAACCUGCCCAAAGCUGUUGCCUACAGUGACUUUCCUGACUUCAGCCUCUCUGCAAGUCAAAGGUGAACCCCAUUAAAAUCCUCACUUUUGCCUCCCACUUGAAUUCUGAAAUGAGUUCAAUCUGGAAAAAAUAUUUUAAAAUCUCCAAGACUACUUGUUUAAAAUUCACCGCUCAAUGCCCAACUUUAGUCAAGAGAGCCACCAUGUGGGGAGUUUUGAUGACUUCAAGAUCUGUUAAAGGAAGAAACCACAAACAGGAAAAUUAAGCAAGCCUUCAAAAGUGCCAGCUUGCUUCCAGCUCACAGGGGUUGUGCCAAUCUCGCUCACUGGACCUCAAAGGUAUUUGGGGUCCAACACCCCAAAAUCACAUGAGUUGAGGUCGAUUCCACUCACUAGAGUGAAAAACUCAGCAGAGAAUUUGAGAUUCUUGAUGGAUAAACUCCAGAGACCUGGUCUUUCUGGGUGCCAUCUAAAGCCCACCUAGCCCUGCCCCACAGUGGCCCAAGGACUAAAACCCUAGAGCCAGAACAGGCUCAUUUCUGCAGAUAUUUUCAUGGCCAAUGGCCAUCUUUAAUUAGGAGAGUUUGGCCUCUGGAGAUCAAGGAAGCAUUCCUAUUGAGAGUUCUGGCCUGAGCCCUUGAUCAGAAAUAUUAGGAGAAGGGGAGAAGGCUGAACCCUUGGUUGAUGAGAAGUGAGGAAGGCUGUGAGAGAGAGAGAAAAAAGUGAGAAGCUGAGGGCUGAUGUUCUGAGAGCUGUGUGAGUUUGGGACUGCAUCCUACUUGGUCAAAUUUAUCCACUGGAGCCCUUCCUGCUUUGAAUGGUGAGUGAUAUCUCAAAGACCAAGGGUGGCUCCCUAACUACUCACAAGAAUAGGUAUUUGCUGCUAAUUUCAGGGAUGCUCCAGGGCAUCCUUAAAAUGCUGUGUCUGGAAGGCUUUUGAGUUUGGAGUUUUGAACUUAUGUGCAGUGAGUAACCAUCAGCCAAAAAAACAGUCAAGAAAGCUCCCCACCCAACACUGUCCACACUGACUGGUGUGCUAGCAAAGACUGGGUAGGAGACCAAAGCCAGCCAUGUAGACUUGUUAAUUAGGCAUGCACCUGGCAACUUGGACUAAGAUGCAGGAAGGAGCCUAAGCACAGAUCCAAGGGACCUUCAACAAAAUAGCUGUUCCUGGGAAGAAUAGGGAGAAGGAGAGGAGAAGAGAGAAGAAUAUGAAGGGGGGAAGGCCUUCUGAUUUUUUUUUUUAAUCCGAUUUCUAUCCCAAGUGGAUUUUUAUAUCCUCCUACCAGUGACUCUGUAAAGAACAUGAAGAAUUCCUUGAUAUCCUAUAUAUAAUUGCAAGACGCGGGGGGGGGGGGGCGUCAAACUUUCUAGUUAGAUAGCACAAAGAAAUGGAAAUAUUUCUCAACACCCAUAUUCCGUCCUCUUCAUCCUCACAGUUUGGUAUACUUCCCAGGCUGACCAUUUCUUUCCAGACUAUGAAACCCAAGAAUGUUACAUUAGCUGGACUCAUAUUAUCUUAGAAAAGAUGGAAGAGCCAGGGCAUCUUGGAAUGCAAGCUCUCACCGCUAUCCUCCAACAGGCAGUGGCUGAAGGUACCUGAGUCUAAGCCCCCUACUCUCUGACCUACCUCGAAAACAAUCUUCAGAAAUGUUUAUUAGAAAUGUAUAAAAGCCCUUAAUUUCAAAUUUAUGUUGCCUCUUGUUUUCCCUGUUAGUCCUUCAGAUGUGAAAACAAGUUUUGAUCCAAAACAAUGAACCAGAUAAAAAUCAAAUUAACAUAUUCCCUGAAUUGUUUCUCCUGCCACAUACAUCUGCAUUUCUGUUGUGGGAGCCUUGAAUAUUAAGUCACCACUCAAUUCAAAUAAUUUUUUAGCCUUCAAAGAAGUAGAUUUUUGUAUCAAAACCAUUUAUGUCUUUGGAAACAUGACCACACAAUAGCACUUGCAGGGUCUUGUCAGUCGAUCAGAUUCCUGCUCUUUGAACCAUCUCCACCUGAGGAAUCUGUUGAGUGGGAAUCUUCAUCCAUCAAAUCCAUGGUGAGUUAAAUUAUCUUUUUGCCUUUAUGCAGACCAGUGAAGUGGGACUCAGUUUCCCAGAAAAUGUGAUGACUAAUGACUCACUGCAUACUGAUUCCACCUGUAGGGAAACCCAAAUGUUUUGCCACAGAACAUCAUGACCAUGGCUUACUUUGCUGUCUGCAUCAUUCUCUUCUGAACUCACUGUGAAGUAACGAGAGAUGAGCUUACCCAUAAUGUGUCAUGACUUCUCUGACCUUCAGAGUGGAAUGCCUCCCACUCUGAAAACAACCAGGAAAGGGAGCCUCUCCAAACCAUAUGAUGGCUGAACGAGUGGGUGCUGUUAACCAAUGUCAGCUGAAGAUAUUCUUCUGCAUGGCCAUCGUUGAUUUGGCUUUCAUCUUCAAGUUUGGAAUCUCUUGCUCACAGCUGUCUACUGGUCAAAGUAAAGACACAGAUGGCAUCACUGCUUCCUGGAAGGUCAUUAGCAACAACGGCAUGAACUGGAAAGACGUUUUGACUGUUGCUUGCUCAGCCUUACAACCCUCUAAAACUACAAGAUGAUUCCUCCUGAAGUGCAGCCUGCAACUUCAGGAAUUCCAGUUGCCAGAUGUUUGGGGGGG